AGUGAACGCUGGCGGUAGGCCUAACACAUGCAAGUCAAACGGCAGCACAGUAAGAGCUUGCUCUUACGGGUGGCGAGUGGCGGACGGGUGAGGAAUACAUCGGAAUCUACUUUUUCGUGGGGGAUAACGUAGGGAAACUUACGCUAAUACCGCAUACGACCUACGGGUGAAAGCAGGGGAUCUUCGGACCUUGCGCGAUUGAAUGAGCCGAUGUCGGAUUAGCUAGUUGGCGGGGUAAAGGCCCACCAAGGCGACGAUCCGUAGCUGGUCUGAGAGGAUAAUCAGCCACACUGGAACUGAGACACGGUCCAGACUCCUACGGGAGGCAGCAGUGGGGAAUAUUGGACAAUGGGCGCAAGCCUGAUCCAGCCAUACCGCGUGGGUGAAGAAGGCCUUCGGGUUGUAAAGCCCUUUUGUUGGGAAAGAAAAGCAGCAGGUUAAUACCCCGCUGUUCUGACGGUACCCAAAGAAUAAGCACCGGCUAACUUCGUG
This 492-nucleotide ribosomal RNA is filed under the name uncultured bacterium. Its description in RNAcentral is "partial 16S ribosomal RNA". It matches the Rfam family "Bacterial small subunit ribosomal RNA", at positions 29 to 507 of the family's 1533-position model. The record is from RNAcentral.